GCCAACGUAGCUCAGACGGUAGAGCAACGGUUUCGUAAACCGUAGGUCAGGGGUUCGAUCCCCCUCGUUGGCU
This 73-nucleotide transfer RNA is filed under the name bacterium. RNAcentral describes it as "tRNA-Thr". It matches the Rfam family "tRNA". Rfam says of the family: Transfer RNA (tRNA) molecules are approximately 80 nucleotides in length. Their secondary structure includes four short double-helical elements and three loops (D, anti-codon, and T loops). Further hydrogen bonds mediate the characteristic L-shaped molecular structure. tRNAs have two regions of fundamental functional importance: the anti-codon, which is responsible for specific mRNA codon recognition, and the 3' end, to which the tRNAs corresponding amino acid is attached (by aminoacyl-tRNA synthetases). tRNAs cope with the degeneracy of the genetic code in two manners: having more than one tRNA (with a specific anti-codon) for a particular amino acid; and 'wobble' base-pairing, i.e. permitting non-standard base-pairing at the 3rd anti-codon position. The record is from RNAcentral. RNAcentral also lists the same sequence under 1 other name.